AUGAAGGCUCUUCUUUUAAAUGAUAGCAACCGGCAACUGCCAUGGUUCCAAGACCAAGAACUUCCUACUCAACCAAUAAUGCACUUCUUUCAGUUCAUUCUAACUUCUAAGACGUUAACCACCAAGAAAAGGAACUUCUCAAGCUUCUGUUUGAGCCAAGUUAAGCAUGGCUGCUUACAAUUUCCAAUUAUGGGGCACAUGGUCAUCCUUACGCAUUUACUGAUGCCGCAUGGCCGCAAGUUUGCACAACUUUUUGCUUCAAGGUUUCUUUUAGAUAAUCAUCUUUGGUCCUGCAUUAUACAUGACAUUGUCUGGUUGUAUCCCGUGAGAGCUGAAGAGGCACAAUCAACUAUGAACCAUGCCAAGUGGAAGCAGGUGGCCGCUUUCAUGGUUGGCGGGAGCAUCUUGGCCUGGUACCAUGCGCGACAGUCCCACGGAAUGUACCAUCGCCUUAAUGGUGCCAGAGCCGGUGUAGUGUGGCGAAGUCCUCCCGCAGCCCGGGUCGCUCUUAUCCCUCAAGCAGCGCCGACGGCGCGGGACCCAGUGGGCUGGGCCUGCGUCGGCAGUGCCGGUGUCCAUCUCCUCCGUCGAGCGGCGGCGGCGCAGCGGGACGCAGUGGGCCUGACUUGCAUCGGCAGCAAAGGGGUCUCUCCUCCGUCAAGCAGCGGCGGCAGCGCGGGACCCAGCGGGCUCGGCCUGCGUUGGCGGCGGCGGGGUCCAUCUCCACCGUCGAGCAGCGGCGGCAAGGUCCAUCUCCUCCCUCAAGCUGCGGCGGGCUUGAGACACAGCGGGCUCGGCCACGAAGAUGGAUUUCUCCGACGGGGCAUUCGAUUCCUGGCCUCUGUUCCUCGACCUCGCGUCAGGCACAUAUGCCCCAGCGGUCGUUCCUCCUCGUGGUCAGUGACGCAGAUGCCGCCGCUGUCAUUCCUUGCACAACCAAGGAUGCGGAACUCCUCUACGGUUCAGAAGUUGAUAAUCCAUUACAGUUCUUUCAUUGUGCAAGCAACCUCAGGUUGUUGCCUGGAUCCUAUGAACAACAUGUACAGUCAUGCUGUCGUUAUCCGUUUACCAUCAAUUAUUCCUGUUAUAGGCUGGUCCUCUUUUGAGGCUACUGAUUGCAUUAGGAAGAGGAUGUUUUCUUUCGAAAAGGAGCACGAUAGCUUGCAGAUGGUGCUAUGGUGCAAACAUGUAGUGGACUUGGAGGCCAGGAUUUUAGCUACAGGAAAAGAAUGA
This 1233-nucleotide ribosomal RNA is filed under the name Triticum aestivum (bread wheat). RNAcentral describes it as "partial small subunit ribosomal RNA". The record is from RNAcentral. Lineage: Eukaryota; Viridiplantae; Streptophyta; Magnoliopsida; Poales; Poaceae.